AUUGAACGCUGGCGGCAGGCCUAACACAUGCAAGUCGAGCGGAUGAAGGGAGCUUGCUCCUGGAUUCAGCGGCGGACGGGUGAGUAAUGCCUAGGAAUCUGCCUGGUAGUGGGGGAUAACGUCCGGAAACGGGCGCUAAUACCGCAUACGUCCUGAGGGAGAAAGUGGGGGAUCUUCGGACCUCACGCUAUCAGAUGAGCCUAGGUCGGAUUAGCUAGUUGGUGGGGUAAAGGCCUACCAAGGCGACGAUCCGUAACUGGUCUGAGAGGAUGAUCAGUCAACGUGGGAGUGGGAACGGGCCCCAGCCUCCUGCGGGGGGGAGCAGGGGGAAAUGUGGGACAGGGGGCGAGAGCGGGCCCCGCCGGGCGGGCGUGUGAGAAAGAGGUCUUGGGUUUGGAAAGCCUUUUAGGGGGGGAGAAAGCGAAGUAAUUUAAGACCUUGCUUUUUUGACUUUAACAACUAAAUAAGCCCCGGCUAACUUCGUG
RNAcentral lists this ribosomal RNA (485 nucleotides) under uncultured bacterium. RNAcentral's name for it is "partial 16S ribosomal RNA". It matches the Rfam family "Bacterial small subunit ribosomal RNA", at positions 29 to 507 of the family's 1533-position model. The record is from RNAcentral.